UAGUAACGGCGAGUGAAGCGGGAUGAGCUCAAGCUUAAAAUCUCCGUGCACGUUGUGCGCGGCGAAUUGUAGUCUAUAGAUGCGUGAUCAGCGCGGGCGCUCGGGGUAAGUUCCUUGGAAGAGGACAGCAUGGAGGGUGAUACUCCCGUUUGUACCUGAGUGUUUUGCGCGUACGGUCCGUGUUCUUUGAGUCGCGUUGUUUGGGAAUGCAGCGCAAAGUAGGUGGUAAAUUCCAUCUAAAGCUAAAUAUUGGUGCGAGACCGAUAGCGAACAAGUACCGUGAGGGAAAGAUGAAAAGAACUUUGAAAAGAGAGUUAAAGAGUACCUGAAACUGCUGAAAGGGAACCGAAUCGUUUCCAGUGUCUAUAAUCUGCGGCAUAUUUCAUGUGCGAGUGCGUGCGUUUCGGCUUUGUGGCAGUGGUCUUUUGUCUGCGCCCGUUGCUGUUUGUGCGUGUGGUUGCGUGUGCCCUGUGCUGUGGUGGGACGUCAAGGUGAGUUCGAAUGCUGCGGGAAAUGGCCGUCGGGGAGGUAGGUCUUAAGCUCUGCUUUUGGCUAUUAUAUCUCGGCGGUUGAGUCGUCGCGGUUGGGACUGAGGUGCCUACAACGUGCUUUUGAGCGCGUGCGUGUCUCUGUGCUUGCGUUGUGCGGAUAGCUUGCUAUGCGCGUGGCGUUGCGUGCGGAUGGAUAUGCGCUGCUGCUUGUUGCCGUUC
This 710-nucleotide ribosomal RNA is filed under the name Halophytophthora sp. NBRC 32445. RNAcentral's name for it is "eukaryotic LSU rRNA". It matches the Rfam family "Eukaryotic large subunit ribosomal RNA", at positions 81 to 618 of the family's 3401-position model. The record is from RNAcentral. Lineage: Eukaryota; Oomycota; Peronosporomycetes; Peronosporales; Peronosporaceae.